Molecule: long non-coding RNA, 684 nt
Organism: Zingiber officinale
Lineage: Eukaryota; Viridiplantae; Streptophyta; Magnoliopsida; Zingiberales; Zingiberaceae
Exons: 2
Source: RefSeq, a predicted model, not a curated record
AUGUAAUUUUUGGAGGUCGUUUAGUAUGUUACAAAAAGAAAGAAGUUUGGACCAAAAAUGUUGAAGGUGAGAUUCAAACCCAAGACCUCGACCCGAGCCGAACCUCAGCCGAACCCAGCCAACCAAUUGGUCUGCGGUUGAUUUGUGAUUAAGAAGGGGAGCGAAUUUAAUUAUGUUGUAGUUGGAGCAGAAUUUAAACCUAGUUAUAAGUUUUCCCUUUCUCGCCGAAAACACUAUCUGCCCUUCUCCCCGAUCCCGACUGCGUGCGGCGCUCCUGCUAGGGCGACAGUGAAGAAGAAGCUAGGUUUUGGUCUCCGGCGGCUGGCGAUGGCCUUCUUUCGGCGAACCUUGCGGAUCCGAGCUCCUCUCGCCUAAGAGAACGCGUGAGCACGAAAGGGAAGCCGAAGUCUUCAUCUCCCCGGAAGCCCUAGCAGCCCUACUGCCGGUUGUAAGUCCAAGAACAAUAUAUAAAGGAAAAGCUAAAGUAUGAAAGGAAGGCGACAAGGUGGUGGUGAUGAAGGUGUGUGAUGACUGGACUAUGGAGAGAUCCAGAGUUUGCUAGCAGAAUUUAAGGACCUACCUGUUUGGAGUUUCAGUUUAUGUUUUUAGUUUUCUUUUAAUGUUAUUAUGAGUUGAGGUUGUAAUUAAGUUUAUUCCGCACUUGUAAUUAGUUUUCUUUUAUUA